Molecule: long non-coding RNA, 1118 nt
Organism: Linepithema humile (Argentine ant)
Lineage: Eukaryota; Metazoa; Arthropoda; Insecta; Hymenoptera; Formicidae
Source: RefSeq, a predicted model, not a curated record
UCAAAAAGUGAAAUACAACGGUCGAUUUGGAAAAUAAUUUUAAUGAGCCCGUGAUCGCAGAAGAAUUUAGACCAGCUACUAUGACGGGAACAACGUUAAUUCUAUCAGAAUGAUAUCGCGCGAAUAGCGCGAAUCAGCAUGAGCUUGAGACCAGUUCAUUCAUUUACCACGGACAGGAAAUUAAGCACCAUACGCCGGUUCUGAAAGUAAUUUUGGUGAAUCUGCGAUUAUAGAGGGACUCAGGAAAGUUGCCACGAGACGUGAACUAUGUAAAUCUCAUCGGGAUGAAUCGUAGGACAAGGACAGACACGGACAUUAGCGACACGAUCGAUGAAAUGCUCAGGAUAGAAACCUGCGACGCAGAAAACUUUACGCUGUUAACAGCCGAAUGAGUAUUCUACCGUUGAUGAGUCAAAUCAGUCGACGUAGUUGCUUCUUGUUACGGAAAACUUGUUCGAAUAUAUUGGAAGAUGAGUGAGAAAAUUUUAUUUACUAUUUUUAGAGAGUCAAAUAUACUUUGCCACGUUUGUUGUGUAGAAAUAACUAGAAUAAAUCAACAACGGUAUAUAAAUAGAUUAAACUUGUAAAUGUAUUACGUGGGAAAUUUUGAUAAAAACAUGCGAGAUGUUAAGAUCCGAUGUAGCGUUAUAUUUGAUGUACGCGAAGAAAUAGUCGUUCUUCGUAGUACGACAACUUUCGCUGCUUCCAUUUAUACUUCGAGAUACUGUCGCCCUUCUUCCCUUCAAAUUGUCGCUAUUAAAAAAAAAUCGCGAUUCGUAUCGCCGUAACUUUUGAGUGGCCGGCUCGAAAGGAGCGUUUCGUGCGAGGAAUUAAUGUACGAGGUGUGUCGCGCGGAUUAGUCUCAUUAUUAUUCCCGAGCGAGGCAACGUCGUGCCUCGGUAUGGUAAAAAAAAAGGAAGAAAAAAACGUCUCGGAAGAUUAACGAGCGAGCAGCCCUUAUGAACCAUCUCGACGCCUCGAAAACCGCGAGCGAGAGAGAUGGGCGAGAGCGGGAGAGAAGAGUGAGCUGGAAAAGGAGGAAAAAAAAAGAUGGAUUGCGAGGAGGAAUUGGAUAUCGCAAUUAAACAGGCCGGCAACCUUACAAAUUGGAGGUUGAA